This 65-nucleotide transfer RNA is filed under the name Plagusia squamosa. RNAcentral's name for it is "tRNA-Asp". It matches the Rfam family "tRNA". From Rfam's summary of the family: Transfer RNA (tRNA) molecules are approximately 80 nucleotides in length. Lineage: Eukaryota; Metazoa; Arthropoda; Malacostraca; Decapoda; Plagusiidae. The record is from RNAcentral.
AAGAAAUUAGUUAAACAAUAUAACAUUUGCUUGUCAAGCAAAAAUUAUCUCAAGGAUAUUUCUUA